UACGUAGGGGGCAAGCGUUGUCCGGAAUCAUUGGGCGUAAAGCGCGUGUAGGCGGCCCGAUAAGUCCGCUGUGAAAGUCCAGGGCUCAACCCUGGGAUGCCGGUGGAUACUGUCGGGCUCGAGUCCGGAAGAGGCGAGUGGAAUUCCUGGUGUAGCGGUGAAAUGCGCAGAUAUCAGGAGGAACACCAAUGGCGAAGGCAGCUCGCUGGGACGUGACUGACGCUGAGACGCGAAAGCGUGGGGAGCAAGCAGG
Molecule: ribosomal RNA, 253 nt
Filed under: uncultured bacterium
Lineage: Bacteria
Description: partial 16S ribosomal RNA
Rfam family: Bacterial small subunit ribosomal RNA
Source: RNAcentral